RNAcentral lists this ribosomal RNA (301 nucleotides) under uncultured bacterium. Its description in RNAcentral is "partial 16S ribosomal RNA". It matches the Rfam family "Bacterial small subunit ribosomal RNA", at positions 509 to 809 of the family's 1533-position model. The record is from RNAcentral.
CAGUAGCCGCGGUAAAACGGAGGGUGCAAGCGUUAAUCGGAAUUACUGGGCGUAAAGCGCACGCAGGCGGUCUGACAAGUCAGAUGUGAAAUCCCCGGGCUUAACCUGGGAACUGCAUUUGAAACUGUCAGGCUGGAGUCUUGUAGAGGGGGGUGGAAUUCCAGGUGUAGCGGUGAAAUGCGUAGAGAUCUGGAGGAAUACCGGUGGCGAAGGCGGCCCCCUGGACAAAGACUGACGCUCAGGUGCGAAAGCGUGGGGAGCAAACAGGAUUAGAUACCCGAGUAGUCCCUGUCUCUUAUAA